UCAUGAAACUCCUUGAUUUUGCUUUCAAAUCGUCCUCGCCACUGAACCAGUAUUUCUUUGUCUCUGUCAUCAUCAAAGUAUGUUGUCAUUGCUUUUUUGAUUUUUUCAUAGGUUAUCUUCAUUUCCUCAUGUAGAUAACUGAGCUCAACCUUGUCAUGUUUUCCGUUUUCAAUUCUGGUGUAAAGCACAUUCUCAAUGGUCAACAUGUUGCUCCUCAGGGCCCAGGUCCAGUUCCCAUACUGGACCUCAAGUUUUCUGUAAACUGCAAUCUCAAGUGUGUUUUUGAAACUGAAAACAAAGUUUUCAUUCAUCAGGGCAUUCCACAGGUCCUGAAUUUUGCUUUUGAACUGUGAGAGAAAAAUUUCAGCUGACUGUGAAGCUUUAGAGAGGAUGACGGUCUUCAGCUCUUGGACGCUUUC
This is a long non-coding RNA of Epinephelus moara (kelp grouper), 419 nucleotides long. RefSeq lists it as uncharacterized. Lineage: Eukaryota; Metazoa; Chordata; Actinopteri; Perciformes; Serranidae. The record is from RefSeq and is a predicted model, not a curated record. The transcript is spliced from 3 exons.